RNAcentral lists this long non-coding RNA (251 nucleotides) under Mytilus galloprovincialis (Mediterranean mussel). Lineage: Eukaryota; Metazoa; Mollusca; Bivalvia; Mytilida; Mytilidae. The record is from RNAcentral.
CAACUUCAUUUCAUGGAUCAGUGAUCAAGGUUUAGUUUGCAUGGUCCAGUCCAUAUCUCAGAUAAUAGAAGCAAUGUCAACUAUAUUUAGUGAAUAGAAUGAUUGUAAUGUGUAUGUGUCUGACUGGCAGAUGUCAUGUGACCUUUAUGUCAUUUUCAUGGUUUAUUGGACAAUGUUUAAAUAGUUUUUGUGGUUCUAUCUUUUUCUCAGAUACUAUAAUCAAUAAGGCAACUAUAUUUGGUGAAUGAGGG